Molecule: long non-coding RNA, 576 nt
Filed under: Nicotiana benthamiana
Lineage: Eukaryota; Viridiplantae; Streptophyta; Magnoliopsida; Solanales; Solanaceae
Description: long non-coding RNA (NBEN_LNC035829)
Source: RNAcentral
UUCCAUUCCUUAAUUAGCUUCAGGUUGGAUUCUUGUAUCUUGCAGUGUUCGCUUUCGUACUACCGAAUCCUUUUGCACAGUUGACUAUAUUUGACAUGUGCCUUGGCCGUUUAAUCUAUAACUCUAUGGCCUCGAGAAAACCCUGGCUGGCCUAGACCAUCGUGAAUGUCUUCCAACCAACCUGAGUAGAAAAGAGCACAACUAGCAUGAUACUUUUCUGGCUCGAUGGUAUCUCUCCCCAAUAUGAUAUUGUAGUGCCACAUAUGCUGAGCUUGGAACUUGUAAGGACUAUCAUCAUUGUGGAAGUCAGCACGGAAAUGACUCAUCUUGUCGACCUUGGGUAUAACUUGCUUCCUGCCAGCUUGCCUCAUAAGUCAAAGAAAGAGGUAAGGGUAUGUUCCUCUCAGACCAAUCAGUAUCAGGAAAGGUGUAUCUCUAGAUCGGGCGAUAAACUUCUCUUCGAAAACCACUCGAACAUCCAUUGAACUUGUUUUUCGGUCAGAUUUUCUAAAACCUUGACCUUUCCUUUAGAAUUCUCUAGAUGGGCGAACAUAUCGGGAAUGUAAUUCAUUCGCU